CUGAAGAGGCUUGGCUCGCUUCAAGUUCGUCAAUUAUGUUCCAGGCAGGCUGUUCUCUUUAGUUCUGGUUUGUUUCUCUUUGUUUAAAGAAGCUGACCCGCAGACACAACAAUCUUCCUCUCAAGCUUCAGAAAAACACCCAGAAGAUCCAGCAGGAUGGUCUUCCAUCCUGUGACUGGCUGCUGGAAUGAAUCCCACUGCUGCCUAUCUGAUCCCACUAAAAGGCCAACCACUUGACAAUUAAAUGGCACAGAUCACCAGACUGGGCCACAGCAACGCGUGACAGGGGACAGCUAGUGUAUAAAUAAAAAAUAGUCAAAAAAUCAGCGCCAUAGGUCAUUGUGAGUACUGCAAUUAAGUCUUAUCAAGAAAGAAACUAUACAUUUCUUUGACUAGAGUGGCAAAAGGAAAAA
Long non-coding RNA from Anolis sagrei ordinatus, 413 nucleotides. RefSeq lists it as uncharacterized. The record is from RefSeq and is a predicted model, not a curated record. NCBI's taxonomy places the organism in Eukaryota, Metazoa, Chordata, Lepidosauria, Squamata, Anolidae.